GUGGCCGUGCCGACUAUCGGUACGUCGGGCAUGACUGUGACUCAUGUCUCUUGUGGGUUCAACUCCCACCGGCCACCCCA
Molecule: transfer RNA, 80 nt
Filed under: Occallatibacter sp.
Lineage: Bacteria; Pseudomonadati; Acidobacteriota; Terriglobia; Terriglobales; Acidobacteriaceae
Description: tRNA-His
Rfam family: tRNA
About the family: Transfer RNA (tRNA) molecules are approximately 80 nucleotides in length.
Source: RNAcentral